Molecule: ribosomal RNA, 957 nt
Filed under: uncultured bacterium
Lineage: Bacteria
Description: bacterial SSU rRNA
Rfam family: Bacterial small subunit ribosomal RNA
Source: RNAcentral
CUUAACACAUGCAAGUCGAGCGAUGAAGCACCUUCGGGUGUGAAUUAGCGGCGAACGGGUGAGGAACACGUGAAGAAUCUGCCUUCAACUCUGGGAUAACUCCGGGAAACCGGGGCUAAUACCGGAUAUGAGCCUUGAUCGCAUGAUCGGGGCUGGAAAGUUUUUCGGUUGAAGAUGACUUCGCGGCCUAUCAGCUUGUUGGUGAGGUAAUGGCUCACCAAGGCGACGACGGGUAGCCGGCCUGAGAGGGCGACCGGCCACACUGGGACUGAGACACGGCCCAGACUCCUACGGGAGGCAGCAGUGGGGAAUAUUGGGCAAUGGAGGAAACUCUGACCCAGCGACGCCGCGUGAGGGAUGAAGGCCUUCGGGUUGUAAACCUCUUUCAGUAGGGAAGAAGCGAAAGUGACGGUACCUACAGAAGAAGCACCGGCUAACUAUGUGCCAGCAGCCGCGGUAAUACAUAGGGUGCAAGCGUUGUCCGGAAUUAUUGGGCGUAAAGAGCUCGUAGGUGGUUCGAUACGUCGGAUGUGAAAAUCAGGGGCUCAACCCCUGACCUGCAUCCGAUACGGUCGAGCUAGAGUUUGGUAGGGGAGACUGGAAUUCCUGGUGUAGCGGUGGAAUGCGCAGAUAUCAGGAGGAACACCGAUGGCGAAGGCAGGUCUCUGGGCCAAUACUGACACUGAGGAGCGAAAGCGUGGGGAGCGAACAGGAUUAGAUACCCUGGUAGUCCACGCCGUAAACGGUGGGCGCUAGUUGUGCGAACCUUCCACGGUUUGUGCGACGCAGCUAACGCAUUAAGCGCCCCGCCUGGGGAGUACGAUCGCAAGAUUAAAACUCAAAGGAAUUGACGGGGCCCCGCACAAGCAGCGGAGCAUGCGGCUUAAUUCGACGCAACGCGAAGAACCUUACCAAGGCUUGACAUAUACAGGAAUAUGGCAGAGAUGUCAUAGCCGC